GCCGGGCGUGGUGGCGGGCGCCUGUAGUCCCAGCUACUUGGAGGCUGAGGCGGGAGAAUGGCAUGAACCCGGGAGGUGGAGCUUGCAGUGAGCCGAGAUCGCGCCACUGCACUCCAGCCUGGGCAACAGAGCGAGACUCCGUCUCAA
This 147-nucleotide small RNA is filed under the name Papio anubis (olive baboon). RNAcentral describes it as "Metazoan signal recognition particle RNA (ENSPANG00000042284.1)". Lineage: Eukaryota; Metazoa; Chordata; Mammalia; Primates; Cercopithecidae. The record is from Rfam by way of RNAcentral.